UUACAGAACUGUUAAGGUUGAGCUGAAAGUUUUUGUUUGCAGCUAUUGAACUAGUGCAGUUUUGAAGYUGUUGCUGUUUUGAUUCAUUGGUCAAGGCACAAGAUAAUUGUGAUUCAUAUGAUUCUCUURUUCUUGUGAGGUUGAAUAAUUGUGAUUGACAGUGUGGCUGGAAAGUAUCAGCUAAGGAGAGGUUUAUACAAGAAAUUGGAGGCAAGGCUCAGAAAUCACUAGCAUAUGUUGAAGAUUGAUCAAACGAGCAGUAGUUACCUGGUUGUUUUGUUUUUGUACUGUUUAUGUACUGGUUUUGUAAUUCAAUCAUAGGGUCUUGUUGAUUUACUGUUUUUAUACUGGUUGAUUGUUGUAAGGUACUGGAAACAGCUGAGAAUAGUGAUUUAGACAGCAUUGAUUCUGGUUUUUGAGG
Cynara cardunculus var. scolymus (artichoke) is the source of this 421-nucleotide long non-coding RNA. RefSeq lists it as uncharacterized. The record is from RefSeq and is a predicted model, not a curated record. The transcript is spliced from 2 exons. NCBI's taxonomy places the organism in Eukaryota, Viridiplantae, Streptophyta, Magnoliopsida, Asterales, Asteraceae.